Mauremys reevesii (Reeves's turtle) is the source of this 1361-nucleotide long non-coding RNA. RefSeq lists it as uncharacterized. Lineage: Eukaryota; Metazoa; Chordata; Testudines; Geoemydidae. The record is from RefSeq and is a predicted model, not a curated record. The transcript has 9 exons.
CUGGGCUAGAAGCGACGCCCUCCUACUGCACCGCCUGAGGGGCGGGGCUUAGAGCCUACAGUGGUUCCACGGCGGGCGGCGGAGCGGGGUUUUGGGGAGGUUGUGGCACAGGCAGAGCAGGGCCGGCUGGGCCCUCCGUGACUGCAUUGCGGCUCGCUCCCCGCCUCCCCGCUGCAGUUGCUAUGGCAGGCGGAGUCCCUGCCUUCCUUUCCCAGAGAGUCAGGCUGCAGCUGGUUGGGUGGGGUGUGCCAGGCUCACAGCUCUGGUCUCCCACACGGGCCUCGCCUAGGCAUUGAACUUAGGUUGAUCUAGAUACCUCACUGUGCAACGUGCCAUGCCCUGAGCAGUGUACUUAGGUCAACCUACAUCACGCAGCCAGGCGUGGAUUUACUGCGAGGGGAAGACCUCUUUAGGUCUGUAGAAAGUGUCUACACUGCAGUGUCAUAACUGCAGCUGUGCUGGUGGUGGGAAUUCCAGAGAUGAACAGGUCCACCUGGGGUGUCCCCCACUUCUGGAAGAUGAUCUGAGCAACCUCUGGAUGGCGGGACCACUUGUGGCAAGAGAAGAAAGACUUGCUGAGAUAACUGGGGAAGGAACACUUCACAUGCCAGGUGGAUGGCCCUGAGUUCUCUGAUGUUUAUAUGUAACAACAGCUCCUCUUGGGACCACAGGCCCUGGGUCCUGAGGUACCAAUGUGAUCUCUGCAUCCCAAGUCUGAGGCAUCCAACACCAAGAACACCAUAGGUCAUGGAGCUCAAACUGAACCCCUUUUGUUAUAUAGUGCAGGUUCAACCAGCAUGCUAGGGAGACCCAGUGCAUGGCAGGUGGCUUGCACUACCGCGAUGCUAUGUUGAACUUGUGCCUUCGAGUGACCCUUGAUGAGCCAAUCGUCGAGGUACGGGUAGAUCUGAAUACCGUGAUGCCUGAGAUCCGGACCUUCUACUGUGAUGCCACAUGAAGUGGAAGCACAGGAGGAACUCGGAUCCUUUUGGAAGAUGGAGCUGAACCAUGCUUUCAGGUCCUAACAGGGCAGCUUCUUUUGCAAGCAGAUCCACCUUGUUGUUCCACGUAGAAAUUUCUGCUUGGUUCUUUCUAUGCGCACGGACUUUAAACCGAUCCAGACCUACUACUGUGAUGCCACUUGAAGUGGAAGCACAGGUGGAACUCGGAUCCUUUUGGAAGAUGGAGCUGAACCAUAUUAACACUUGAUGUCAUUGGACUUGAUUGACUGCAACUGAGAGCAGAACUUGGGCCAUUGUUUGGAAAGUGGCAGUCUCCUCCCCCUCUGCCAAUGAAAGUGCUCUUGAAUACCAGAUAAGCAGCCCCUCACCAAAACAGACCCCCGGCCUCUCUCUUCAAGC